CCCUAUGGGGUGCAGCAGGCGAGAAAACUUUGCAAUGUGCGAAAGCACGACAAGGUUAAUCCGAGUGAUUUCUGCUAAAGAAAUCUUUUGUUAGUCCUAGAAACACUAACGAAUAAGGGGUGGGCAAGUUCUGGUGUCAGCCGCCGCGGUAAAACCAGCACCUCAAGUGGUCAGGAUGAUUAUUGGGCCUAAAGCAUCCGUAGCCGGCUCUGUAAGUUUUCGGUUAAAUCUGUACGCUCAACGUACAGGCUGCCGGGAAUACUGCAGAACUAGGGAGUGGGAGAGGUAGACGGUACUCGGUAGGAAGUGGUAAAAUGCUUUGAUCUAUCGAUGACCACCUGUGGCGAAGGCGGUCUACCAGAACACGUCCGACGGUGAGGGAUGAAAGCUGGGGGAGCAAACCGGAUUAGAUACCCGGGUAGUCCCAGCUGUAAACUAUGCAAACUCAGUGAUGCAUUGGCUUGUGGCCAAUGCAGUGCUGCAGGGAAGCCGUUAAGUUUGCCGCCUGGGAAGUACGUACGCAAGUAUGAAACUUAAAGGAAUUGGCGGGGGAGCACCACAAGGGGUGAAGCCUGCGGUUCAAUUGGAGUCAACGCCAGAAAUCUUACCCGGAGAGACAGCAGAAUGAAGGUCAAGCUGAAGACUUUACCAGACAAGCUGAGAGGUAGUGCAUGGCC
Molecule: ribosomal RNA, 677 nt
Filed under: uncultured marine group I thaumarchaeote
Lineage: Archaea; Thermoproteati; Nitrososphaerota
Description: bacterial SSU rRNA
Rfam family: Archaeal small subunit ribosomal RNA
Source: RNAcentral